GGNAUUGGAAAUGGGGGCACCCUGAUCCAGCAAAUGCCGCGUGAGUGAUGAAGGCCUUCGGGUUGUAAAGCUCUUUCGACGGGGAAGAUGAUGACGGUACCCGUAGAAGAAGCCCCGGCUAACUUCGUGCCAGCAGCCGCGGUAAUACGAAGGGGGCUAGCGUUGUUCGGAUUUACUGGGCGUAAAGGGCGCGUAGGCGGUUUUGUAAGUCAGGCGUGAAAGCCCCGGGCUCAACCCGGGAAUUGCGCUUGAUACUGUGGGACUUGAAUCCAGGAGAGGAUGGCGGAAUUCCCAGUGUAGAGGUGAAAUUCGUAGAUAUUGGGAAGAACACCGGUGGCGAAGGCGGCCAUCUGGCCUGGCAUUGACGCUGAGGCGCGAAAGCGUGGGGAGCAAACAGGAUUAGAUACCCUGGUAGUCCACGCUGUAAACGAUGAGUGCUAGACGUCGGGAAGCUUGCUUUUCGGUGUCGACGCUAACGCAUUAAGCACUCCGCCUGGGGAGUACGGCCGCAAGGUUAAAACUCAAAGAAAUUGACGGA
RNAcentral lists this ribosomal RNA (538 nucleotides) under uncultured bacterium. RNAcentral describes it as "bacterial SSU rRNA". It matches the Rfam family "Bacterial small subunit ribosomal RNA", at positions 359 to 917 of the family's 1533-position model. The record is from RNAcentral.